Acanthopagrus latus (yellowfin seabream) is the source of this 734-nucleotide long non-coding RNA. RefSeq lists it as uncharacterized. The record is from RefSeq and is a predicted model, not a curated record. The transcript is spliced from 4 exons. Lineage: Eukaryota; Metazoa; Chordata; Actinopteri; Spariformes; Sparidae.
GUGACUUUUAUGCUGCUGUGUUUCAGGUUUCAAGUCACAUGAACAUGAGGCAUCUGACGAACACUUCCCGAUUGACCGGGGACUGAAUUAAUGAUUGACAGUGAAAAUCUGGCCAUAUUCUAAGUUCUUGUUCUCCCUCAGGCCUCCGAGGAUCCGACUGAGACUGCCUGAGAGGAAUCGUGGAGUUAACAAAGUGUGCAUCAUCACACGCCGCCUUCCCAACAUCACAAGACUGAUUUGGAACCCGUUGGUGCACAUCACGCACGGCAGACGAGUCAAGAAGAAAUGACGUAAGGAGACGUAACGAGGCGGAAACAAACAAAGAGCGAGACUGGGAUGCCGGAGGAAAGGUGGAGCCGUUCUCAGCCUGCAUCUCUCACUUCUUCAUCUUGCCAUGGACUGAGAGUUGCUGUUGGGGUGCUUCCCUCGGCUCCGAGCUGGGAUGAUUUCCCGGCGCAGAGCAGAGGCCCUGUCGUGGGAUGUCUGGGAUGGUGCAGAAUAACGCUACAAGCCAACUUGCUGUCAGUUGUUUAUGUGUAUGUGACAAGGUCCUCCUCUUCAUGUUUUUUGACCCUCUGAGGAUGGCAGUGUCAGCAGCUGGUCGCUUAGAUCCAGGCUAAAGUAUUGUAUCUUAAUAAACGUUUAAUGGAUUGGCACCAACUCGUAUAAAGGCAUUCAUGUUCUCCAGUUGAUACAUCUGACCGACAAUGUGUUUCCAAACAACCACGAGGUUG